CUCUGCCGUUCCCCUCCCCCUCGCCUCGUCCUCGCCCGAGUCGCUGCGCCACCGGCUCCGCCGCUUCUCCCACGCCCUCUCCUCCCCGUUCCUCUCCUCACCCUGCCUGGGUUGCCCCAUCCCGAAAUCCACCUCGAGACUGAGGGGUAGGCAGAAGACGGCUUCCACUCAGGACGGCGAGCCAUGGGUGACGGCGAUCUCGACGCAAAGUUCGGCGGUGGAUUCUGAGGUUGUGGGAGGCCAGAUGAUUUGAAUCAGAGGUGUCAAGAUCCGUCAGGACCGGGACGCCGACGCCGCUCCGGCGCCUCUUGCGCUCCUCCUCGACGCCUCCUGCCCGCUCUCCUGCGUCACCGAGGCCGUCGAGCGGCGCGGGCGCGGCGGACCAGAUGCAGUACCAGUGGGACCAAGGUUGACACGGCACUGGGAGUCAGGCGGUGGAGACGGCCAGAUCAUCCCGUCUCCAGCUUCAUUGUAGCAGGGCCAUUCGAUCCAGGAGGAGGACCUGCUAUUGGAACCACGGUGCUGGCUGCAGGUAGCAUUUCAAGGACAGCGUGUUUACACGAAGACGAUAUAUUGAAUCCGACCCGACCCCCCCGCGCGCUCCGGAUGCUGCUUGUAUUUCGGUUUGAUCUUUGUGAGUGCAAGAGCAGGAUCUGUUGAAACCAUAAGCAUCCUAUCCACGUCUUUGUGUUGUAUGCUAUCAACAACUGCUCACUCACAGUCUCUGUUCAGUUCAGUUUAGGGAUAUUCUGUUAGUGCGUUUACAUAUUUAUUUAUUGUUGUGCCGACCAUUGCAUAUUCCUGCAAGUGAAUCUCUUAUGGUACAUUAUUUAUUUCUUCAUUGAUUAAUGUGUAGUUCAGUUCAGGUAUUAUUGAACUCCCUUGUUGUCUUUUGCAAUGGUGGACUGCAGGUUGCUAUGACCAAAUUCUUUCAGAAAAAUCGUCUCUUCUCCAUCUAUGUGAAGGUUGGAUUUGAUAUCCACCUCACACCUCACAAGGCAGCCCUGCAUUAACUGAGAGUUCCAUAUUUUAAAUCAGUAAAAAUCUUUGGAGAUCCAGUGCUCCAACAACUGGAUCAUCCAAUUUUCUGAUUGGUUCCGAGGUAAACAUGGCUGGUGGAGCAGCCGGAGAGGAUAGAAUCCAAACUGUGUGCUCUGAGAAAAAUAGAUGGUUCAUUUGUAGAAUUUAUGAUAGAUUUAAUGGACGAGAUGCAACUGAUUUUCUGGCAGUGACUCUAUAUGGUAGCAUAGUAUAUUACCUUUACUUGUUUGAGUGUCGUAUCAAGCAACAAGAUGGCCUAUAUAUGGUUGAACAAGAUAUGGAUGAUAGACCAAAUUUAGUUUCAUUGGAUCUUGUGUCCUGGUUGUGCUUCUCGAGGGAACAUAUUUCUGCAUUCUAAAUCUUGGGGAUAGUUGCGUUAUGCUUGCUUCCAUGCCAUGAAUACUCUGUUGCUGCUGUUACACAUUGUUGUGCUAAUUGCAUAUUCCUGCAGAUGAAUCUCUUACGGUUAUUGUUUGUUUUUCAUUCCCAUUGGUAUUCCAAGAGUAUCUGUUAUUAUAUUUAAAUUCAUGCUCAAAUAGAAAAUCUCACGAAAAUGGAAUUCUCCUCCUAGGUGUUCUGUAUGCGCCCGUAUUGCAGGACGACUUCUACCUCAACUUCGUGGACUGGUCUUCGCACAAUGUCCUCUCGGUCAGAUCGGGGAAUUGCGUCUACCCGUGGAACGCAACUGCAAGGUCGCCAAGCUCUAUGAUUUGGGGGCGGACCACACUGUUUGUUAGUUGGGUGCAGCGUAGCACCCACCUAUCUGUAGGGACUAACCAAGGCACCGUUCAGGUUUUCAUCUUGCUCCCGUUUGAAAUUGAUCAAAUGGCAUGUUCGGGGUCCAUCAAAGUUUAGGGGUAUACUUCAGUUUAUUUUUACCCAAAGCUUCAAUUCAAACAACAAAUAAUACAGAGUAAGCUUGGUUGUGAGAAUGUCACCCGGUUGAUGCGAUAUGAAAUGUAUAUUGUAGAAGUAGAACAAGCAGAAAUUUGAUUCAUCAACUUAUAUAUGCAAUAUGAACUUAUGAAGUAUAUAUUGUAGAAGUAGAACAAGCCGAAUUCGAUUCAUCAACUUAUUUAUGCAAUAUUAAGUAUAUAUUGUAGAAGUAGAACAAGUGCUACCGUGUUGAUUUUUUUAUGAAAUACAUGCUAAAAUAUAUAUAUCCGUCGCUAUCCAUUGAAAUAAUACUGACUUACGAACUACAUACUGAAGUAUAUAUUCGUCGCUAUCCAACUGAAGGUUGUAUAAUGUUUUCAGUUCUAGCGCUUUAGAUUCCGUGGCUUCAGCUUCUUUGUGUAAGAUCUCCACUUCCUCACUGUCAUCUGUUUCAGUUGCAGCAAUCAAUUCUGCUCUAGCAGCAGAGGAGUCCAGCCGGAGCCUUUUGUAACUUGCCAUGGCUGACUCUUGUUCUCUGAGCACAAUAAGCCCUUCACAAUCCUGUAUCUUGUUAGUGGUUGCUGCGAUAUCCUUUUCUUUAACCUCCAGAUCACUACCAGCUUUUCGCAACGUCUUAUAUUAAGUUGCGGAGGGACUAAUUGCCAACAUAGUUCAGGUUUUCCCUUACAAUAUCUUUUCUAUCAGAAGUUGUGGUUUUAGUUCAUAUGUCAUCUGUUAGAGCAAAAAAGAUGAGGUUUCAUGAGGUUAUUCAGGUUGAGUCCCACUCAAGUUGCUUGAUUUUAGGUUCUAAUUAUGGGCCUGGGCAAAUUCAAAACAAAUAGCUUGCUUAGAGGAUCCCACAUGGACGAUGUAACACAUGUAUGCGCAUUCUACAGGGUUUUACACGUACAUGUUGUUUUACAGUGGAAAUUAGUGUUAUCACAUACUUUUGUUUUGGUAACUUUUUUGCUGGCAUUACUGUCUAAAAUAUUUAUACUUUUGUAUUGACUUCAUUUCAGCGAGAUGCUAUUUAUUCAGUACAGGUUCUAGAUUGGGUGGUUACCAGUUAUUGUUGUGCUGAUUUAUCACUCUUUGUUGGACAUGUUCGAUUUGCACCGAACCAGUAGAGUAAACUCAUUUCUGCAGCAGUGGAAGGAUUAAUGUGCGUCUUCGACACAUAUGGUGAUGGCCACCGCAACGGCGGGCAGCAUGUCGAUCAACACUGAGUCGCUGACCAUAACCAAGGUGGGCGAGAAGAAGAGCUACACCAUGAGGGAAGCCGCCAUGCAUGAACGGAUUCGGAUUCGGCCGGCUCGUCUGGUCUAGUGACACCAAAGUGGUAGCUAGUCCGACCCUUGGGAUGUGGACCUGACCGUUACCUUUGAACCAGUAUCAUGUAUGCUAUCGCUCACGUAAACCUCUAAGACUGCUUCCUGCCAGUUGAUACGUAAUGUCAGAGCUCUUGUUCAUUCUUCCA
Molecule: long non-coding RNA, 3394 nt
Organism: Triticum dicoccoides
Lineage: Eukaryota; Viridiplantae; Streptophyta; Magnoliopsida; Poales; Poaceae
Exons: 2
Source: RefSeq, a predicted model, not a curated record